ACGUAAACAUACACACACACAUAUAGUCAUGAUGAGGUCGAAGGUUGUGAGAAACAAUCUUUUUGUCGCAUCUUAUGAGAACUGGGAGGAAUGUAAAGGGUGAGAAGAUGAAAGGAAAAGGGAAAACUUGAUAAUGACGCAU
This is a non-coding RNA of Caenorhabditis elegans, 142 nucleotides long. NCBI's taxonomy places the organism in Eukaryota, Metazoa, Nematoda, Chromadorea, Rhabditida, Rhabditidae. The record is from Ensembl.